CAGCGCCACGAGUGGGGAUCCUGUUUAUUUGGCCUAAAGCGUCCGUAGCUGGUUUAGUAAAUCUCUUGUGAAAUCGUUAAGCUUAACUUAACGGCGUGCAGGAGAGACUGCUUAGCUAGGGACCGGGAGGAGUCAGAGGUAUGCUGGGGGGAGCGGUAAAAUGCAAUAAUCCUCGGUAGACCACCUGUGGCGAAGGCGUCUGACUAGAACGGGUCCGACAGUGAGGGACGAAAGCCAGGGGAGCAAACCGGAUUAGAUACCCGAGUAGUCC
This 271-nucleotide ribosomal RNA is filed under the name uncultured archaeon. RNAcentral describes it as "partial 16S ribosomal RNA". It matches the Rfam family "Archaeal small subunit ribosomal RNA", at positions 477 to 747 of the family's 1478-position model. The record is from RNAcentral.